This 253-nucleotide ribosomal RNA is filed under the name uncultured bacterium. RNAcentral describes it as "partial 16S ribosomal RNA". It matches the Rfam family "Bacterial small subunit ribosomal RNA", at positions 524 to 776 of the family's 1533-position model. The record is from RNAcentral.
UACAGAGGUGGCAAGCGUUGUUCGGAAUUACUGGGCGUAAAGGGCGCGUAGGCGGUUCGUCAAGUCCUGUGUGAAAUCCCCCGGCUCAACUGGGGAACUGCACAGGAAACUAGCGGGCUUGAGUUCGGGAGAGGGAAGCGGAAUUCCGGGUGUAGCGGUGAAAUGCGUAGAUAUCGGGAGGAACACCAGUGGCGAAGGCGACUACCUGGCCUGUUCUUGACGCUGAGGCGCGAAAGCUAGGGGAGCAAACGGG